CAGUCGCCGCGGUAAUACGUAAGGUGCGAGCGUUAAUCGGAAUUACUGGGCGUAAAGCGUGCGCAGGCGGUUGUGUAAGACAGGUGUGAAAUCCCCGGGCUUAACCUGGGAACUGCGCUUGUGACUGCACAGCUAGAGUAUGGCAGAGGGGGGUGGAAUUCCACGUGUAGCAGUGAAAUGCGUAGAGAUGUGGAGGAACACCGAUGGCGAAGGCAGCCCCCUGGGCCAAUACUGACGCUCAGGCACGAAAGCGUGGGGAGCAAACAGGAUUAGAUACCGCGUAGUCCCUGUCUCUUAUACA
Molecule: ribosomal RNA, 301 nt
Filed under: uncultured bacterium
Lineage: Bacteria
Description: partial 16S ribosomal RNA
Rfam family: Bacterial small subunit ribosomal RNA
Source: RNAcentral